AUAACAAAAAUAAACAAUAAAUUCAAGCAAAAUGUGUAAAACUAAAUGUGCUGAGUGAUAGCUGGCUUCCCCGCCCCCCUGCAAAUACGAUAGAUAGUAAACGACGAUUUGUUUGCGAUUUGUAGCGAGCUGCGCAUACUCGCCAUUAUUAUUGACAGACAACUGUAACGAAGACGCAGUGCGGUGCUGCAGUCAGUCAGCCUGUCAGCGCACCUCAAUGAAGUCAGCCAUUCAUUCAGUCAGUCAGUCAGUCAGUUAGUCAAUUCCGAAUGUGCACCAAUUGUGGCAAACGUACUUGUAGUGCAACACACGCUUGCGCAGUGUAAUAGACAGUCUGCAAAGUCAGUCAGCGAACCGUUGAAGCGGCGAGUCAGUGAGCUUGUCACGUAUUGAAUUCGUAUGCGACGCUCCCAGCACCCAGCAGGCACCCAAGUGAACCGAGUGAAUUUGUAAACAAGUAAUAAAUUUCUAUAUAAACUGUCGAGACAACUGAAUAGUGAGUGAAAGAUACAAAUCGCACACUUCAACAUCGACGACGCAGCGGUAAAUUGACAGUUUUACGAGGGAGGCGCGAACAAAGAGGAGGGCAGCCGUUUAAAAAAAAAAAACAUUCGAGCAUUGAUGAAGCGCAGCUGCUUUGUGUGUAAAUAAAGCCGCUGAUUCAAUUCAAGCGCGUAACAAGCCCCAACCAACGCGUAUCCGCGUUCAAACGCACUGCCACGCCCAUACGCCCAUACGCCCACCCGCAGACUUUACAAUACAAACAUUUGUGCGACGUUGGCCGCCCGCUGAUUCGGCGCACAGUUGUAGCGCUUAGCGCGGAGAAGGCGUAGCGGAUAUUUGCUGCCAGCUGUAACAAAAACAAAAAGUGUAAUAAAAAAUAAAUAUUUAAAUUGAAAUAAAUUAAAAGUUAAAAAAAUAUGCAAGUUAUUUUAUAAGAAGAAAAAGAAAUCACAAACUAAAUUUAUUUCUGUGCUUACGCGUACUAAACGAUGACAUGCUAUCAACAUUCUAUUCAACAGUGCAAAAACAACAUAAAGAACUAUACACACCAGACUACAGUGAAUAGAACGUCAAUCGUCAUCAGCCCCAACCUCAGCUUCAGCACGGAAAGAAGCGCGCUCUUGUUGUUGUCUCACCACUGGAGCGACAUAAAUCCAAUGGAAAAUGAUGUUCUAUCACAGCAACAACAACAACAACAACAACAGCUACAGCCGAAGCAACAGUGGCGGCGACGAGAUCAACAACAGCGCACAUAGUUCGCUGGCAUCGGCGUCGGCGCUAACGUCAAAGCAACGCAGCAGCAGUUAUAAGAAGUAUCGACGCGCGAAACAGCUCCAAACUAGCAGCGUGCUCUGUGGCAAUGACAAUUCUAAGGCCACAUUUUCGCUCGCCGCAUCCGCACUGCCACCAGACACAGUGGCAACAGCGACGCCCAAUGAGAGCGCGCGCACGCCAACGCGCAACAAUCGCACGCAAGCAGGCGCGUCAUUGUCGUCAUCAUCCGUCUGUGCUGCGUUGAGCGCUGGCUUUAGCACCUGCAGCGCGCUCAGUUUGUCGCUAAGCAUCCUGCUGCUCUUGCGGUUAGCGCCCACUGUCAACGGCCUCGCAGUCGGCGUUGACACCACCAAUGCGAACAUCACGGAUUUGGGUAGUCCCGGUGGGUAUUCAAAAUAAUGUUCAAUUAAAAUCAUUUAUUGCAGAAAUUUUUAUGAAAUUUAUCUAUGUAAUUGUACGUAUUUUAAUAUCUAACACCUUUUGUACUUGUAUCUACCUUCCAUGUUUUUGAAACUGCUGCUGCUGUCGCCUAUUGUAUAAGUUUCAUUGAGAUUUGUCAAUCUUUCGUUUAAUGCCCUAAAGUCCGAAGCAUGCUUGCCUUUCAAGUUUUAAUCUGGGCUAGCAGCUCUGCCUGAAAGACAGUGGAUGAUCUGCCCACCGCAUUGUCGGGUCCAAAAACACCUAUUCUGUUUUCCAUCCUUGACCUGUCUGUGUAACAUAUAUAUCUGAGACUAAGGCCAAGAAGUCUUCCGCAAGUCCACAGGGCUCGGGAGGAAAUGCAAAAAGUUUUGUUUUGAUGGGAAAUUGACUUUCUCACAAUAUUCAAACAAUGUGCCUCCAAAGGUAACCGCACCAAGAUUCUGCUCAUAUCUCCUGAUUAACGGUAUAAAAACAGUACCCCAGUGGGUAAACCCGUUUAAUACCGCACUCUAAGUAUGCGCUAUGCCCAAAACUCCUGUAUUUUAAUUGGAACGUCUCUCAUCACUACAGACCAAAAUAACGGUGCAAGAUUCUCCCAGUAAGAGUGUAAGUAGGUAUGAUGUAAGGGAGUUGAAAAUCUCAUUGCCCGAUUUAGAAAUACUUAGAUACUCUAAGUAAACGGAUAUAAUUCCACGUAUAAAAGGCCCCAAAGGGAUUGACUAGGCUAGGCGAUUAGUGCUGGAAAGAAACAACCACCGCAUUCUGCUUUAAAUUGUUUAAAGGUCUCUACCGCUAUCCGUACUGCUUCAAUGUCAAAGAUAAAGCCAGAACUGCUAGGUCUUCUCACUCUGCGGAACCUAUGCUUCGAAGUGGCUCAAGUCAGGCGAUCCCGCUCCACGUAAGAACCUAGAAAAUAAACUUGAAGCAAGUAUUUCAGAAGUCCACUGUCGUUGCUAGUAAUAAGGGUGCCAUUUUGCCUCCUUAAAAGUUGUAUUCCAUUGAAAUGUUUCCUCAAUAAAACUUUCUAGUACCUCUUCUUUUAUAGCGGCAAUGAAUGUGCGUCUUAAAGCCUUUUUUGUACCCUUUUAUCGGUACCUAGCGCCUAACACCUUUCAUAGUAGAGAGAGAUUGUGUCCCAUUUAAUUUAUAAGGCAUAGCCAUCUUUUGAAUUCACUGCAAAUAAUACAAGUAAGCAACAAAAAAAAAAAAAAACUUUCAAUUGUGUAACACCACCUAGGGCGGCACUCCGUUUGCCACCAUUCCACUUUUCCCCGCCCUAACCAGCUCUUAGUUAAAUUUACUAAACAUCGAUGUUCCAUUGGCCCGUAUUGCCUCUGAUUAAACAAUAUAGCGCGCUCUGUGUACCACAAUUUCCUGCUCCCAACUCAUUCAUUUGCACAAUCAGCAGGUCAGCAGCUGCCAAGAAUGUAGGCUAGCCACUUGAGCACCCACCGUCCGUGCGCCUCCCACCUAUAACCGCAGGCAAAGUUCAGUAGCCGAGUCGUUCAUGCGCUGCUGGCAAAAUUGCCAGUUGUCGCACGAGUUCUCGGCCGUCAGUCUGUUUGCUUGUCACGUCCUUUCCUUUGUAUAUGUAUACGUGAAUGCAAUAGUUGUUGCCGCACUGACACUUAGUACACUUAGUUUCAUUUUCGUUUUCAUUUCCAUUUAAUUUGUUUUUCUUCUUUCUUUCAUUUCUUUUGGUUUCUUCUGUUCUCAUUGAUUUGUUGUUGUUGUUUUUUCUGUCACUUUUUUACGUUUUUUUUUUUGUUAUUUUACACCUGUUUCUGCAACGCCUGUCACACUUUCGCAUUUUAUUCCAUUUCCUUUGCAAUAUCAAGCACCCACCACCGCAGCCAUUUACACUCGACGUUACCUCAAAGCUAUUGCUCUCCGCCAACAGCCUGGCCGCACUCAGCCAUACACUGGCUCUAAGCAUCAAUUAACCCAAUUUUCAAAUCCAUUUGCACCGCUACGCCACAAAAUUGCAGGCAGUCGGCCAGAGCAGUGGGCGGUGUGCGAUGUGCGGCGGAGAGUUGCUUGCGAGCAAAAGUGUGGAAGAGAGUGUGGAGUGCGAUCCCCACAUCUCACCAGACCGCUCGACCACCUGCCUGCCUGCCUGCCUACUUUUUGCCUAGGCUAUAAAGCAGCGAGUGUGCUGCCACUUUAGUAUUUCAUUUUACUUUGUCCCCCCCCCCAUUCCACUUAGCCCCCAUCGUCGCCUUCAUAACCAUUCAUAUUGACUGUUGUGUAAGCUAUAUGCUUUGUGACCAGGCAGUUCCAGGAGCACCUCACACCUCAAUUCCCCAAUGGCCCUGCCGAUUGUAGGCCCAGCCGAGCCACAUCGCCACCCCCACUCACAGACCUCAAAGUACAUAUUUACGCAAGAGAAAGUAUGUGCAACAUGAAGGACUUAAUUCACAAAGACACGUUUACCAAUGGUGGCAACAGCAGCAGCAGAAGCUUUAGCAAUUGUUGGCCAUUUUCAGCCAAUUCUAUGUAUGAUUUUGUUACUUUUUUCAAUUUCGUACUGCUACUACUGCUACCAACUUUAUUUUUCUCAUUUUUUGUUAUCACUGCCCCUGGCGGAGCAUUUAAGUCUAUUUGCAGAGUUGUUGUUGUCAACAUCGUCGCCUUCGUCGUUGUCGUCGUCGUCGUUGAUUUGGUUUGGUUGGAAUUGGAUUGGUUUAGAUUGGAUUGCCAUUGGAUUUGCAAGCGAUAAGCGAAUGAAAUCAACACUGGAAUCGGUCGAUAUCGGAACGACCUACAAAAUACCUGACUAAUAUUCUUUAUGCUCUUUUUAAUUAAAAUAUAAUCGGAUUUUCUUUGCAGCAUUUUAACCGUUUCAAUUUUAGCGAAAAUAAUCCACUUUUUUCUAGAUUUUCAGCGCAACGAAAUAAUACAUAUAUAAUCCAUUUAUUUACAGAACGGUCAGCAAAGCCAGGGUGGAAAACUUUUAUGCUGCAGAUAUAAUAAUUUUCUUUUCCAAUUUCUAGGAUAUAAGUAAAACACACUUUGAAUUUCCCUACAGAUUUCAAGUAAACGGGCCAAUAUGAAAAUUAAAUUAUGGGACAGUUCAAAACAACGCUGGUGAUUUAAGAUUUAAAAGAUGCCGUUUUUUUUCGUUGCAGAAAUUGGCGGAUCAAAGCUCAGCAGCUGCAUCUUAGACUGAGUAGAUUAGAACGCGCGGACUCUGAUGCAUUAAUUGUAAAGAGAAGAACCAGAAAGCCGAAACUUCGCUUUGAUGACACCGAACGAAGCCGAUUUAUGAACGGAAAGAAACACUCUGGUUUAGCAGCGCAAUCUCCAGCGUUCAAAAUAUUCGUGUGGACGAAGGCGGGAGGAGCUAUUCAGAAGAAACCUUUGUUUUCCCAAAAAGUGUAGAUGUAUACGUAGAUGUUAAGUUGCUCAAAAUCUCUGAGCAUAAUAAUAUAUAAGGGAUGUCCAAAUCAAAAGUUGUUAUUAGAAAAGUUUAAUAGUU
Molecule: RNA transcript, 5176 nt
Organism: Rhagoletis zephyria (snowberry fruit fly)
Lineage: Eukaryota; Metazoa; Arthropoda; Insecta; Diptera; Tephritidae
Gene name: protein abrupt-like
Source: RefSeq, a predicted model, not a curated record